This is a long non-coding RNA of Entelurus aequoreus (snake pipefish), 639 nucleotides long. RefSeq lists it as uncharacterized. The record is from RefSeq and is a predicted model, not a curated record. NCBI's taxonomy places the organism in Eukaryota, Metazoa, Chordata, Actinopteri, Syngnathiformes, Syngnathidae. The transcript has 5 exons.
GAUAAACUAUGUCUGUGAGGAACUCGCAUGGCUGCAGUUUGUGUGUCCCCAAGAUGCAAGAACCAGGAGGAGGUUGUGCAGGUUAGCGGUGGGUGAAGGUGGGCGUCGGCGACACAAGAUGCUACCCGCCUGCCACCAUGGAUCAGACUUCCCCUUCACGCUGCAUUUCUAAUUACGGGACGAGGCGGAGAGCAGCUCAAUAGUGACGGCCGUCUGCGGGAACAAUGGAAGCCUUUUUUUUUUGGGAGACGGUGAGAAUGAGGCCUAAUUGAAGGAAACAUCAUCCAUCAUUCGCCCACUGGAGCUUUGACGCUUCCACUGUUGAAGCGUCAAAGAAGGACAGGCGGUUUUAUCCUGAGGGUCUAAGAAGCUGCAUCAACAUCGAGGUACCACCCCGGACUUCCACGCUAUGUUGAAGAGACGUGUCAGCCACAACAUCCAGAGCCUUGAGGUAUUCGGGGCGGAUCUCGUCCUCUCCAGGGGCCUUGCCACUGGGCAGUUUUUUGAUUACAUCAGCAACUUUGGCUCCAAUGAUGGACUAUGUCUGUGUUUGUGACCUCAGACUCUACCUCCUCUACGGAGGGUGUGUCUGUAGGAUUAAGGAGAUCCUCAAAAUAUUCCUUCCACCGCCCAACUAUA